This 163-nucleotide small nuclear RNA is filed under the name Echinops telfairi (small Madagascar hedgehog). RNAcentral's name for it is "U1 spliceosomal RNA (ENSETEG00000021656.1)". It matches the Rfam family "U1 spliceosomal RNA". Rfam says of the family: U1 is a small nuclear RNA (snRNA) component of the spliceosome (involved in pre-mRNA splicing). Its 5' end forms complementary base pairs with the 5' splice junction, thus defining the 5' donor site of an intron. The record is from RNAcentral. Lineage: Eukaryota; Metazoa; Chordata; Mammalia; Afrosoricida; Tenrecidae.
AUACUUACCUGGCAGGGGCAACACCAGGAUCAGGAAGGUGGUUUCCCAGGGCGAGGCUCACCCAUUGCACUGCGGAUGUGCUGACCCCUGAGAUUUCCCCAAAUGCGGGAAACUUGAUGGCAUAAUUUGUGGUAGUGGGGGACUGCAUUUGUGCUCUCCCCAG